GGAGGUCAGUACCUGCUUGCCUGAGACCUACUAGCUUUGAUUAGAAGGUUUCCACGUGCUGCUGGACCAUAGUUUGAGACUACACACCCCCAUCUGGACCCUAUUAAAAUGCAUCUCUUGACCAGUCACAGGAGGAGCCUGGGAGGGGGAGGAGAAGUCAAGGGAGAGGAGAAGUCAAGACAAGUUGACCUCAAAGGUACCACGGAAAAGUAAUGAUUAACACUGCUGCAGUCUGGGAACAGUUUAUUCAACUGCGGUGACGGAAACAAGGAGAAAGCCCUUCCUCAAACCCCUCGGCAAAAUCUGCUUUCCACUUCUGACUGAUGGUGGGAAGAAGAAAGACGCUGCAUUUGGAAGGACUGUCAGAAUCAAAUAUGUCUGAAAUCUUAAAUGCUUCU
Molecule: long non-coding RNA, 398 nt
Filed under: Bos taurus (domestic cattle)
Lineage: Eukaryota; Metazoa; Chordata; Mammalia; Artiodactyla; Bovidae
Description: long non-coding RNA NONBTAT008113
Source: RNAcentral